UAGGGAAUUUUCCACAAUGGGCGAAAGCCUGAUGGAGCAACGCCGCGUGCAGGACGAAUGCCUUCGGGUUGUAAACUGCUUUUCUACGGGAAGACUUCGACGGUACCGUAGGAAUAAGGAUCGGCUAACUCCGUGCCAGCAGCCGCGGUCACACGGAGGAUCCAAGCGUUAUCCGGAAUUACUGGGCGUAAAGAGUUGCGUAGGUGGCAUAGUAAGCAGGCAGUGAAAUCGUGUGGCUCAACCAUACAUACAUUGUUUGAACUGCUAAGCUAGAGUAUGAGAGAGGUAGCUGGAAUUCCUAGUGUAGGAGUGAAAUCCGUAGAUAUUAGGAGGAACACCGAUGGCGUAGGCAGGCUACUGGCUCAUUACUGACACUAAGGCACGAAAGCGUGGGGAGCGAACGGG
Molecule: ribosomal RNA, 405 nt
Filed under: uncultured bacterium
Lineage: Bacteria
Description: bacterial SSU rRNA
Rfam family: Bacterial small subunit ribosomal RNA
Source: RNAcentral